Molecule: long non-coding RNA, 852 nt
Organism: Sander lucioperca (pikeperch)
Lineage: Eukaryota; Metazoa; Chordata; Actinopteri; Perciformes; Percidae
Exons: 2
Source: RefSeq, a predicted model, not a curated record
UUAUGGAUUUCAUCUCUUAUUGAACAACACAGCAGUGAACUGUGCAGGACUCCUGCAUUGGCCAUAUCUGUAAAUAAGAUUGGAAAUGUGCUCUGCCAAAUCCAGGCUUUCAUCUCAAAGCAAAAGCCAAGACGACAGAUGCUGAUUGUUGGAUGACAUGAUUAAUUACUUUAAAGUUGUUUAAUGAAUGGGAAAACCAGUUAUUCCACUGCUACAUUAUGUCCUGUUUCUCUUCUAUCAUUCAACUUUCUUUAUGUUGUAAUCACUGUAUCCUGUUUGGAGUUGAAAUGAACUAAACACACAGUACCAAAGUAGAAUUUAACUUAUAGAAUGGGGAAAUGUUAUUUUACAAGCACUAUAAAUAUCUCAGAUGUCCAAGCAAUUAAUAUGUAAAGAACUGUAUAAUAAUAACUUUUUGGUUUGAAAUGAGCAGAGAAGGAUGUGUGACUGCAUAUAGAUUUAAUGAACAUAUGUCACUCCAUUUUCUUUCUUGGAGCACAGCAUAUCACAUUUUAAACAAGCUUAUCUUCACAAUCAUGUAUACUUUUUUAGAUUUGUUUUUUAGAUCUUCAACGGUGCUGUAUGACAGGUAUAGAGAAUGCUUGCUUAAUCUUAAUUUAAAUUGUCAUCCUCAUUAGAAUCAUGUGCAUAGACAAUUGAAGUAUGAGUUCUAGCUGCACCAAUUAAAGCCAUAUAACCUGGAUGACAACUUCCUAUUGAAACAAAUGUUUUCUGAAAGUGAAAAUGUAAUAUUUGAAUGAUGAGGCCAGGGUUGGAUUGCUGAAUAAUACAUGUAUGUAUGCUAAUUUCUGUGUCAGGCUGCAAAACCAUUAAACAGAGUACAACAAUCUA